GAUGCGGUCAGCUAAAUAAGCUCUCGGGCCCAUACCCCGAGCAUGAUGGUUAAAAUCCAUCCCUCAUCA
Molecule: transfer RNA, 69 nt
Filed under: Pectenocypris sp. MZB 22148
Lineage: Eukaryota; Metazoa; Chordata; Actinopteri; Cypriniformes; Danionidae
Description: tRNA-Met
Source: RNAcentral